Molecule: ribosomal RNA, 808 nt
Filed under: Bifidobacterium pseudocatenulatum
Lineage: Bacteria; Bacillati; Actinomycetota; Actinomycetes; Bifidobacteriales; Bifidobacteriaceae
Description: bacterial SSU rRNA
Rfam family: Bacterial small subunit ribosomal RNA
Source: RNAcentral
UACUGACGCUGAGGAGCGAAAGCGUGGGGAGCGAACAGGAUUAGAUACCCUGGUAGUCCACGCCGUAAACGGUGGAUGCUGGAUGUGGGGCCCGUUCCACGGGUUCCGUGUCGGAGCUAACGCGUUAAGCAUCCCGCCUGGGGAGUACGGCCGCAAGGCUAAAACUCAAAGAAAUUGACGGGGGCCCGCACAAGCGGCGGAGCAUGCGGAUUAAUUCGAUGCAACGCGAAGAACCUUACCUGGGCUUGACAUGUUCCCGACAGCCGUAGAGAUAUGGCCUCCCUUCGGGGCGGGUUCACAGGUGGUGCAUGGUCGUCGUCAGCUCGUGUCGUGAGAUGUUGGGUUAAGUCCCGCAACGAGCGCAACCCUCGCCCUGUGUUGCCAGCACGUCGUGGUGGGAACUCACGGGGGACCGCCGGGGUCAACUCGGAGGAAGGUGGGGAUGACGUCAGAUCAUCAUGCCCCUUACGUCCAGGGCUUCACGCAUGCUACAAUGGCCGGUACAACGGGAUGCGACACGGCGACGUGGAGCGGAUCCCUGAAAACCGGUCUCAGUUCGGAUUGGAGUCUGCAACCCGACUCCAUGAAGGCGGAGUCGCUAGUAAUCGCGGAUCAGCAACGCCGCGGUGAAUGCGUUCCCGGGCCUUGUACACACCGCCCGUCAAGUCAUGAAAGUGGGUAGCACCCGAAGCCGGUGGCCUAACCCUUUGUGGAUGGAGCCGUCUAAGGUGAGACUCGUGAUUGGGACUAAGUCGUAACAAGGUAGCCGUACCGGAAGGUGCGGCUGGAUCACCUCCUUUCUACGGAG